ACCACUCUUGACAGGGGAUCACUCGGCUCGUGGGU
This 35-nucleotide ribosomal RNA is filed under the name Panulirus japonicus (Japanese spiny lobster). Its description in RNAcentral is "partial 5.8S ribosomal RNA". The record is from RNAcentral. Lineage: Eukaryota; Metazoa; Arthropoda; Malacostraca; Decapoda; Palinuridae.